AUGGGACUCACCGAAAUGAAAGUCGCCGACGCCGGCCCUCCCGCCGGGAUUCUGGAAAUGGACCAGCAAGAAUCGCCGGAGAGGAUGGUGUGGGAGGGCAAAGCUGCUGAAAACGGCAAAAAAGAUUGUUCCUCCGCCAUUGGCUGGCUGGAUCAGAAAAUGACACUUGUUAGCGCCAAAAGUCCUUGUCGAGAUUGUUCUCCUGCCAUUGGCUCGUUGGAUCAGAAAACGACGCUAGUUAGGAGUACUGAAGAUCAUUGUCUGUGCUCAGGAUGCAUGGAGGUCUCAUGGCAAAGCAAACGUACGUACGUGGACAGCAACUGUCCUCUGGCUGAGCUGUGCGCCUACAGUGUCACCACCCAAAUUCAUUUUUUAUAUUGA
This 381-nucleotide ribosomal RNA is filed under the name Triticum aestivum (bread wheat). Its description in RNAcentral is "partial small subunit ribosomal RNA". The record is from RNAcentral. Lineage: Eukaryota; Viridiplantae; Streptophyta; Magnoliopsida; Poales; Poaceae.